AUUGAACGCUGGCGGCAUGCUUUACACAUGCAAGUCGAACGGCAGCGCGGGCUUCGGCCUGGCGGCGAGUGGCGAACGGGUGAGUAAUACAUCGGAACGUGCCCAGUAGUGGGGGAUAGCUCGGCGAAAGCCGGAUUAAUACCGCAUACGACCUGAGGGUGGAAGCGGGGGAUCUUCGGACCUCGCGCUAUUGGAGCGGCCGAUGGCAGAUUAGCUAGUUGGUGGGGUAAAGGCCUACCAAGGCGACGAUCUGUAGCUGGUCUGAGAGGACGACCAGCCACACUGGGGCUGAGGCACGGCCCAGACUCCUACGGGAGGCAGCAGUGGGGAAUUUUGGACAAUGGGCGAAAGCCUGAUCCAGCAAUGCCGCGUGUGUGAUGAAGGCCUUCGGGUUGUAAAGCACUUUUGGCGGGAACGAAAAGGACUGUGCCAAUACCACGGUUCGAUGACGGUACCCGCAGAAUAAGCACCGGCUAACUACGUG
RNAcentral lists this ribosomal RNA (484 nucleotides) under uncultured bacterium. RNAcentral describes it as "partial 16S ribosomal RNA". It matches the Rfam family "Bacterial small subunit ribosomal RNA", at positions 29 to 507 of the family's 1533-position model. The record is from RNAcentral.